AACGAACGCUGGCGGCAUGCCUAACACAUGCAAGUCGAACGAGACCUUCGGGUCUAGUGGCGCACGGGUGCGUAACGCGUGGGAACCUGCCCUUAGGUUCGGAAUAACUCCCCGAAAGGGGUGCCAAUACCGGAUAAUGUCUUCGGACCAAAGAUUUAUCGCCUUUGGAUGGGCCCGCGUUGGAUUAGCUAGUUGGUAGGGUAAAAGCCUACCAAGGCGACGAUCCAUAGCUGGUCUGAGAGGAUGAUCAGCCACACUGGGACUGAGACACGGCCCAGACUCCUACGGGAGGCAGCAGUGGGGAAUAUUGGACAAUGGGCGAAAGACUGAUCCAGCCAUGCCGCGUGAGUGAUGAAGGCCUUAGGGUUGUAAAGCUCUUUUACCCGGGAUGAUAAUGACAGUACCGGGAGAAUAAGCUCCGGCUAACUCCGUG
RNAcentral lists this ribosomal RNA (433 nucleotides) under uncultured bacterium. RNAcentral describes it as "partial 16S ribosomal RNA". It matches the Rfam family "Bacterial small subunit ribosomal RNA", at positions 29 to 507 of the family's 1533-position model. The record is from RNAcentral.